Drosophila ananassae is the source of this 1693-nucleotide long non-coding RNA. RefSeq lists it as uncharacterized. The transcript is spliced from 3 exons. The record is from RefSeq and is a predicted model, not a curated record. Lineage: Eukaryota; Metazoa; Arthropoda; Insecta; Diptera; Drosophilidae.
GCAAUUCAUCAACUGUCAAAUCCCAUUUAAUUUUAGAUUAUAGCAAAUAAUUAUAGGUAUGGUGUUCGGCACAGGAGCACUUUUGGACUGCACUGAAAGUAAACUUGUUUGUAAAAUAUUAUUAUUUAUAAAGACCUUGACUGUGUUUAUAAUAUGUGUACCUGCACAAGGACCCUCGGAGUGGACAUGACCAGGUGAUUUGGUGCAUGCCCUAUCAGGCACUUAUCUCCCAUGGCAAUAAUAACAACAACAGGACCUGCAAGCAGGCAAAGCACUCCAAAACCACUUGGCUUGACCAAUAGAGCAGCUUCUCCUUCUGGAGACCCUCAAACCAGGCAACCCCACCCCACUUUGUCCAUCAUCCAUUAUCCAUCUCCCCCCAAACAGCAGUCAAGGUUGCAAUUGUUGCCUACCCAGAUGUGGCAAUGGGGCAUCUAUAAGAUGAACAAUGGGAUUAGACAAUUUACAGCCACCCCUUUCAGUCUCGCUCAGAAAUUUCAACUCAUCCUCGGGGCUGCGGUUGCACUUACUACUUUCAACUCAGAAAUCUGGAAUCGGGGGCGAGAUAGCGACCGUCCAAUGCGAUUAGAUGGGAAAAGUUCUUUCUACAGGAUGUGGUUACAUAACUUGGAGAUUUCGAGGCGACUUGGGGCAGCAGUCAAUGGUUGCCUCUGAUGUACCCAAGUGGCUUUUAUUCUUGGUAACUUGGUGCUCUGAAUAUCCAAUCUUUGCUUUAAAAAUGGCGGACUUCUCUUUAAGAAAACAUGGUGGAACAUUGAUGGAUUAUUUCAAUUUGAUGAAAACUUUUGUUCACUUUCUUUUAGAGGCUUCACUAUGAUAGAUGAGCUAGGAAUGGAAUUACUUUCACUCUUUCAAACUGACUGACUUUUAAAUUUAAUAGAAAGUUUUGUACCCCAAAAUCUAAAGACCACAACAGUCUUAAAGUUAUAAAGAGAACAACUUUCUUCUUCUCUUCGUAAUCGACUUCCCCAUCAUUAGAGCAUUCUUCCCUUUAGCAAUUCGCUCUUCAUUUAUUGAAUUUGCCAAGUUUUGCGGUUCGAAAAUGCAAAAAAUGAAUCCUCAUCACUUAUUAGUUUUUCAUAUAAUUUAAAGAAAGCGAGCCGAGACCGAAAAGAAGUUUUGCCAAUUAUGAAAACUACAAUAAAAAUGCAAAUUUCUGGCAACUCAAGCAAAAUUUCAUGACCGCCAGACAAAAAAUGAAAAAAAGAAUGAAAUUUGGAGUGAAACUUUCAAGUGCAAAGGCAAACCAAAAGUUGGUGAUGAGGUGGAUGAAGGGGUCGGUCUCCAGAAGAACCAGAACCAGAUAAGCCUAACAAAUUUUUUAAAAUAAAUUACAGAGUAGAGCAAACAAAUUUGCAUAUACAAGCGGGGGCCAAAACCCGAAAGAAGGAAAGCGAAAAAAGGUUUUCACGCCACAAAGCAAAUCAAGGCAUUUUUGAAGGGCUCCCCCCACUGAGGCACACAAAAAUGAGUUAUUGCACAUGUUGGGAAGAGUCCGAAAAGUAGACGAAACUCAAGUAUCCAACCUGACUGGGAGCUACAUUUCACAAAUAUUCUUAUAGAGUACGAGGUGUUGGUAUACUAAAAAAGUUAACUUGGAAAGUAAGAAGCUAUUCUUUAAGGACUAAAUUGUUUUCAAAAUAUACUUGGCUUCUUUAUUAAAUACUUUUGU